Capsicum annuum is the source of this 3185-nucleotide long non-coding RNA. RefSeq lists it as uncharacterized. NCBI's taxonomy places the organism in Eukaryota, Viridiplantae, Streptophyta, Magnoliopsida, Solanales, Solanaceae. The record is from RefSeq and is a predicted model, not a curated record. The transcript is spliced from 2 exons.
UAUCAAUAAUUAAUUUUUACAAUAAAUUAUCAUCUUACUACUUAAAUAUAAUAUAUUUGAAAUAAUUUUAUACAAUAAAAAGAUAAAUAAAAAUGAAAAAUAAAUGGAAGAUGGAAGGCCCACGUGUGUGGAAAUAUAUGCAAGGCCACAUAUGAUGGCAUUAUUGUAAAUUCUUUACUUAGCAUUGUUGGUAAUUAAAGAGAAAAAAUGGGCUUUUAUUAAAACUUUUAAUGAGGUUCAAAAAACAAAGAACAAAAAAUUAUUAAUUUAAGCUUAGAACUUAUUUUAAAGACAUUAAUACCCUCAAUAUUGAAUUUAAAGACAAAAAAGUGACAUGUUGAAACCUUCACUUCUAAUAUAUAGAAAUGAUGUAUGUGGACAAGAAGGGCCAUGUGUGUGGAGGACUAAGGCGGCCGCCUAUUUUUUUACAAGGUACCAGGGGCAGACUUUUGUAGGAUUUUGAGGUGCUCCGACACCCGCUCAACUCAACGCGGAAUAGGUAUAAUUACAUAGAAAAUAUAUGAAAAUAGGUAUAAAACAUAUAAAAGCACCCACUAUAACAAAAAGUUUGUUAGGUGCAUUGACAUUUAGGUUGAUUUAAGGUCUUUCAUAGGAAAGAGGCCCCGAGUUCAAAUCUCAUUUAGGUGAUUGUUUACUUUUUUCAUUUUUAAAAUUUUUUAAACACCCACUAUCUUUAAAAUUUGGGUCCGCCACUGUCUUGUAAUAUCCCAUAUCAUCUUAGUUCUAGUCCUUAAAAGAAAAGAAAAAAAAGUGGGUCACCCCCAUCUUUCAAUUAAAAAGAAGGAAAAGGAUUGGGUUUUUACCCAUAUGCGUUUAACCUCAAGAGCGGACCUACCUUGUAUUUUGGGGUGCUUCGUUAUCCACUAAACUUGACGCGGAAUAGGUAUAAUUACAUAGAAAAUAUAUGAAAAUAGGUAUAAAACAUAUAAAAGCACCCACUAGAACAAAAGUUAGUUGGGUGCAUUGGCAUUUAAGUUGAUUUUAAGGCGCUUCAUUGGAAAGAGGUCCUAGGUUUGAACCUCAUUGAAGUUAUUUUUAUUUUUUUCAGUUUUAAAAUUUUUUAAGCACCCACUAUCCUUAAAUUCUGGAUCCGCCACUGCUUAAACCACAUAAAAUGGGGAAAAGGAAUUAUGUGUGCUGCUUCUUUCAGCAAGCACAAACAAGGAAAAAAAAUUAUUUAAGGAUUAGGGUCCGAGAAUGCAACAUCAGUUGCAUCUGUAACUCCCAAAAAAAGGUCAACUUGUUAAUUGGAGCAAAAUAAAAUCAAGGACGAAGAAAAAGUGGGUUUGUUUGGAGAUUUAUAUCGGGUUUAAGGUAAAUCUUUUUUUUUUACAUCCUUAUCAUGAUUUCUAGUCUAGGUAAAAUUAUUUUGGAUAUUGCUAUUUAGUUGUUAAAGGCAAGAAUUAUGGACAAUAAGAAUUAUUUUGGAUACUAGUUCAAUGAAUUGAAAAUAUCUUGAAACCUUGAGGGUUGGGUAGUCUAAUUUUAUUAUAAUUUAGCCUAAAAUAAGAAAAUUAACUCGAGAAUGAUAUGAUAUGAUUUUAGAUUCGAUCGAAGGGAGUCCUAUCAAUUGUUCGAAGUGACAAGUUUGGUAUUUCGAAAAUUGUACUAUGAGUAGUAAUCUUACCAUAAUUUAUGUUUGUUAACUUGCAUAUUUUAUACUUGAUUUUGAUGAAACAAUGAGUUAUGAACUGUUUUGAAAUUGCAUGUGGGACAAGUCCUUUACUUGAUAUGAUGUUGAAAUUGUUAUUUGAGAUAUGAUAUUAUUACUGUGAAUAUUCUUCACUUACAUGAGAAACAUGUAUUUUGACAUUUAUUUUUAUUCACGAUUUAUAUGUAAUAUGAUUUGAUAUGAACUUUAAAUGAUAUGUACUAUUCUGACAAAUGCUUUCAUAUGAAUAUCCUAUUGUUUACAAAGUAUAAAUGGGAGUAGACUUGAUUGGAUCCCGUAGCUAACGGAGGGAUCGUUAGACCUGGUGCACCUUGUAUUUACUGAUGACUAUUACAGUCCUCGCUAGUGGAAAGAUAGAACUAGCAUACUGUUACUGAUAUGAUAUUUGACUCCUUUGUGAGGGGUCCACUGUUAUGGGCUAUUCUUGAUGAAGAAGAAUGUCACACUAAUUACAUGAUUCAUUUCUGGAAACCUCCCAAACAUGUAAUAUUUGAUAUGAUACGAUACGAUACUUUUUGAGUUUAUUACUGAACUGUUGGUUCACUUGGCUUACAUGAAACAAUGAUAUUGUUUAUCGUUACUGUUUCCUAAAAGAGCAUUAUUUCAUGAUGUUUUAUGACUUGUCCCAAUUUAAACGGUUGUGGUUAAGUGUUAUUACUCACUGAGCUAGCGUCUCACUCCUCACUAUUAUUUUUCAGAGAACACAGGUGACGGUGAGGAUCGCGUUGACUAGAGGAUCUGAGUAGCAUAUUCCUGGGUAGAAAUGAGGAAAUACGAGUUGAAUAAGUUGUGUAUGGAUGAGACUGAUCCAAAGAUCAAUGCUGAAAGUAAACAUGACAUUUUAUUGCAAAUGCAGACGUCUUGGACAGAUCGCAAUCCCGGUAGAAGAUUUUGGGUGUGUCCUCAUUAUGAGGUUUGUGUUAAUUCUUGGUUAAUUGAAUAAUGUUGAUGUCGGUGUAAAGAUCUAUAAUUUAUGUUCUUAAUUUUCGGACUAUAAAUUACAAUUAUUUUAGAUGGAAAGACUUGGAACGAGUUGACGAAAGAUCAAAAUUUGUUCUUUCAAGAUUGGUGAACAAGAUUAAUGAGCUAGAAAAGAAUUAUGAGAGUGUUAAGAUGCAAUUGAAUAAGCUUGAAAGCUUGAAGACUCAACGUCAUAAUCCCAACAACAUGAAUUUAGACGAUUAGGAGUCAAAAUAAGAAAAUGACUUUGAAAAUAUGCAGAUUAAAUUUCAAAGUCUCAACAUCAAGACAAGUUGUUCAGAUAUGAAGAAUGAAGUAGAUGAGAAUGUGAUGGGUAAUUUGAAAGAAAAUGUCAAGUGCGGUUUGAAAGACAAGAGAAAGAAGAUGGAAAAGAAGAAGGAAAGAGCAUGUAACUUUACUGAAAAUUCCUUUGUUGUAUGAUUAUAUGUGUAGGUGUUGUUGUUGUUUGUUUUGUUAUGCAAUUUGGUAACAUGAAGAACAGUCUAAUGAAGUUGCCAUUCAAUUUUCUUUU